RNAcentral lists this ribosomal RNA (639 nucleotides) under Nostoc sp. HS020. RNAcentral's name for it is "bacterial SSU rRNA". It matches the Rfam family "Bacterial small subunit ribosomal RNA", at positions 115 to 786 of the family's 1533-position model. The record is from RNAcentral. Lineage: Bacteria; Bacillati; Cyanobacteriota; Cyanophyceae; Nostocales; Nostocaceae.
ACGCGUAGAAUCUGGCUNUAGGUCUGGGACAACCACUGGAAACGGUGGCUAAUACCGGAUGUGCCGAAAGGUGAAAGGUUAACUGCCUGGAGAUGAGCUCGCGUCUGAUUAGCUAGUAGGUGUGGUAAGAGCGCACCUAGGCGACGAUCAGUAGCUGGUCUGAGAGGACGAUCAGCCACACUGGGACUGAGACACGGCCCAGACUCCUACGGGAGGCAGCAGUGGGGAAUUUUCCGCAAUGGGCGAAAGCCUGACGGAGCAAUACCGCGUGAGGGAGGAAGGCUCUUGGGUCGUAAACCUCUUUUCUCAGGGAAGAACAAAAUGACGGUACCUGAGGAAUAAGCAUCGGCUAACUCCGUGCCAGCAGCCGCGGUAAUACGGAGGAUGCAAGCGUUAUCCGGAAUGAUUGGGCGUAAAGCGUCCGCAGGUGGCUGUGUAAGUCUGCUGUUAAAGAGUCUAGCUCAACUAGAUACAAGCAGUGGAAACUACACGGCUAGAGUACGUUCGGGGCAGAGGGAAUUCCUGGUGUAGCGGUGAAAUGCGUAGAGAUCAGGAAGAACACCAGUGGCGAAGGCGCUCUGCUAGGCCGUAACUGACACUGAGGGACGAAAGCUANGGGAGCGAAAGGGAUUANAUACC